Molecule: long non-coding RNA, 4898 nt
Filed under: Citrus sinensis (sweet orange)
Lineage: Eukaryota; Viridiplantae; Streptophyta; Magnoliopsida; Sapindales; Rutaceae
Description: long non-coding RNA (CSIN_LNC002915)
Source: RNAcentral
AAGGAUGACAACUAUGUUAUAUCUAAAAUAUUUUAUCAGCAGCAACAGGCCAAGUAUGGUGAUAAAAUUGAACAAGAUAUUCUUGAAAGCACUGGUGCCAUCAUUCCAAAAGUAGAUCCAGUCACUCCUAAGUCAGUGACUCCAGACCCACCUCGUACUGAAAGGCAUCCUGAUUUUGGCCCACGACAAGAGUCUCCUACUACAGAUGCAUUUGAUCAGGUACAAUUCUCUAUCUGACUAGUAGUGUGAAAUCAGCUGCUUUCUUUCAUGACUUAAUUCAUAUUGAACAAUCUAGAAUUUUUGGCUACAUUUCAUAAUGGCAACAAUUUAAAUUAAUAAAAAAUGAAAAAUAGAAGCUAUUGAAAGUAUCUUCUCUUUACAUUUAUACACGUCCUCUGUUGGAAGGAAAUCCUGACAGUUGUUUUUUUUCCUGGCUUCUUCUCCUCCUUAUACUUUUCCUCAUAAUGGAAGCAAUCUGAGAUAAGGCAUGUGGAAGAGGUUCAACCUUUAUGUGAAAACCCCGGUUCUAAUGAUAAAAUCGAAGCAGAAAAUCAUGCUAAUAUGAUGGUUGGUAAUAAUGAUAAUGGAAGUCAAGCAGGAGACGACCGCAAAUGGUGGGACAGUGAAUCGCAGAAUGGCUUAUCGCAGAAUAUCUUGGAUACGCAACAACUAGCAGAAGCGCUGACUCUAUGCGAGGAGUUCUUGAACAGCCAGUCUGAUGGAAAUGCGAAUGAUGGAACAUCAAAGGGAAAACCUGGUCUUUCUGAUUAUGCUCGGUUAGGAUCUGAACAUUUGAAGAAGGAUUUGGAGGAGUGUCAGAUGCUAGUCCAUGAUCCUGCAAACAUCGAACUCGAUACACCUCCAGAAUUUGGACUGAGCCAGCUUGUAUGUCCUGUUUUAUGCCAUUUCACUACUCUUUCAAUAGGAUUUUGAACUCUUUAUUUUCUCAAUUAUAUUUGAUACUGAUGCAUCCCUUUCGUGUUCUGUUGUAGGAAUUUAACUCACAGGAUAGUUUCAUUCCAUUCGGUGGAAGCAAGGCAAUAAACUAAUUUGUGGAUUUCCAGUGGUUGCUUUUAUGACAAACUUGCCUUCUAAACCUUCCUCGGGACUUUUGAGCCACAAUUUCUUGCCCGAUAUCCAAACUAAGCUACUGAUUUGUAAUUGUAAACUGAUGCUGAAAUUUAUCUUCUUUGGGACAAGCUCAUAGCCAUGUCUCUUAAGAAAGAUUUCUGAAGCUUUUUAUUAGGCCAAACAAUGUAGAGCUGUUAACGAUUUGCAUGUAAUCUUUCAUGUUGGAGGGAACUUCUAAGUUCUAUCUUCUGUGAGUAUGUUGUUGCAUACAAUCAUCUGGUCUGAUUUUACAAGGUCUGUUCUGAUGUUAUUGAACCCACGAGGUAGAACUCCCCCUUAAAAACUUGCUAUCCAGGGAAGGGUGCCUUGGGUUUAAUAAACCACCCUCUAAGCCGAUACCUAACCGAUUAUGUUAAUGUUUUCUGGAUGUUGAAUUUUAGCAUCUUGACAAAGCAUGUAGGUCCAAGCUAGUCUGGCAAUUUUCUUCAUUUAGACCUCUUCGCAUCUUAGUAUGGGAUAAGGAUAGGAAAAGCACAAGUGUCAUGGAUCCCAACGGUAGACCGAAUGCCGUGUGGACCACCAAAAUUCGAAGAAGCAUAAAAGAACCAAUGAAAUGAGCCGAUAAGAGCUGCAAUAAUUAGAGAACUGAAGCAUACAUGUCACGAAUUUGUGAAGCCCCAACAGAUCAUACAAGUUGGCUUUUAUUAUGGGCGUGUUUAUUAUAAGCUGGUAAUUAAGAUUGCUCUAGAGCUUGCCGGCUUCUUGUUCAUGUACUGCAUCAUUGGUUGUGUCUGUGGGGAAGCUGGGUAAGGAGCCAACACCCAUUCUGCCAGUUACCUAGGCUGGCAGCUUUGGCAGCAUGUUUUAAAGGGUGAGUGCACAUUUGCCUUUGCACAAGGAGUAGGGCACCUGCUCGAAUUCUAGACCAAAAACACGGUAAUUGGGCCAGCAUUUGUUGCUAAAAAGAGUUCAAUGCAUGCACGCAUGAAACAGACAGGACCACCGGCCACAACAUCCCUCGGUCCCGCCCACUGCCGCAGAAGCCCCUCGUGUUAUACAAAAAUAAUAUGGACUAUACUAUGUGUCAAUAAUAACGUGCAUUUCAUCUAUCAAACAUUGAAUUCGGAUGAAAAGUACAAUUGUAAUGACAUCAUAACAGUCAAAUUGUGUUAUAGAUGGUGGGUGGGAACCGGAAAGCAACUGUCCCAUGCAUAACAUAUGAUACGAAUAUUAAUUCAUUAUAUACUUUUUGUUAUCACAUACAUAGUACAUAUAACAUUUAUCAUGUUUUCUCUCAAAUGUAAUGUAUGUGAUAUUAUAUGAUGGUAACCUGAACUGAGUGCUAGCACUGUAUUCAGAAAUCAGAAUAAUGGUCGGCUGACUACAAAGCCGAAUCUAAAUCUUUGUCUUGGUAGCACCCUAAUGCUUGCAUAAUUCAAAUCGUUUGGCAUAAAACCAUUCAUCACCAAACCCUAACUGCCAAGCACUUGUUGUCUCAAAUAUAGAAGGAACUUAAAUUUCAAAACAAAUUAAACGACAUAAAAUUGAAUAUUUGUAGUUUUUUAAUAUGUAGUGAUACAGUCCAAUUGUACACAUGUUGAGUAGACAGGGAUUUAAAGUCAGCAUCAAUUGGUUUUGUAACAACCCAGCACAGAAUUAUGCGUUCAAUUUCACAUUUAUUUUGAAAAGAGACAGACCCACCAUCUUACUUGUAGUGUAGGAAAAUAUAAAAACAAUUGGAGCAAAUUUCGCAAAUUAAACUUCGGGGGGGUCCUACUAAAAUAAAUUUUUGCCCACUUAGAGAAGAUCAGUCUCCAUUUUUUUUUUUUUUUAAGUUUUCGUUACUCCUCCAUUAUUUGCGAUGCCGCAUUUUUUUAUUUAUUAGACAAAAUUUCUUUGGGCGAUAUUGGGCAAGAUUCAUAAACCAACCCAAUAAGGCUGUUUUUGAUUGACAUUAAGGUAUUUAUUAGAUACUGCGGUACAGUGGCUGAUUAUUCAAUUUAAGACACACUUUUAAACAUAAUUACACACAUAAUACAUAAAUAUAAAAUAAAUUUAUUCAAGUCAAUUAAGAAAUAGAGUAUGCCCAUUUAAAAUUGAGAAAUUUAAUUAAUUGACGCGGGAGUGCAAUUAUUGUCAUUUUCUGUUAGAUUUAGGUGGCGUUUGUUUUUUUAUCUGAAAUCUGAAUAGACCUGAAUCAGUAUGAAUUCUGAAUAGGUCUGAAUGUCUGAAUCUGAAUAAUAUGUUUGUUUUUUUGUUUGAAUCUCAGAAAAUAAGUAUUAAGUUGUUUGUUUUUUUCAACUUAAAAAACUAAAAAUAUGUACUUUUACAUUUGUAUCCUUAUUAAAUUUGAAUGUCAAAUAAAUAAUAUAUUAAAUACCACAAUAUUUUUAAUAUUUAUAAGUAAAACUAUAUUCAAGCGAAUACAUAAUUAUUUUAAAAUUUUAAUAUAUAAAAUACCAUAAAUUUCAAAUUUUAUCGUAUAUAAUAUAAGAAAGAAAAAACAUGGAUAUUUUUAUGUGGGGUAAAUAUCUAUGGGUGAGUUUUGGGAUAGACAUAAAAAAUAAAUUAUAAAACAUGGAUAUUUUUUACAUUAGCAAGUAAUUGACUUAAUUCAGAUUUCUCCAUUAAGUAAAAAGCCAAAAAAAUUAGAGCUUAUUUUAUUAAGUCAAAAUUAUCUAAAAAAUUUCAUUAAGUUAUAAAAACAAAUGCCUCUAAUUAAGUUAAUUAAUUAAGUUAAGUCACUUUAAGUCAUUAAGUUAAAAAACAAACGCCACCUUAGGCUCGAAAAUGGCUAAGGUUAUAAAAAAAAAAUAUGGACACUGCUGUACCGUACAUCCGCCUUGGCCGUACAGCAGAUUAUCUUCACUAAAUUUGUUUUCAAAAAUUCAAAAAUUUUAGGUGUUAAGCAAGAUGGAAGUGCAGCACACUUCUUUUAUAGAGCUAUCAAGGCUUACAGUACUGGAACUCGAAAGCGUAGAAAGAUAAAUGGUGAUGAUUUUGGUGAGGUGCGCUGGCACAAGACUGGCAGGACUAAACCAGUGAUGUUAGAUGGGGUUCAAAAAGGGUGUAAGAAGAUUAUGGUUCUCUAUAUGAGCAUGGUCAGGGGAGGGAAACCUGAGAAAACUAAUUGGGUGAUGCACCAGUAUCACUUGGGAACAGAGGAGGAUGAAAAGGAUGACAACUAUGUUAUAUCUAAAAUAUUUUAUCAGCAGCAACAGGCCAAGUAUGGUGAUAAAAUUGAACAAGAUAUUCUUGAAAGCACUGGUGCCAUCAUUCCAAAAGUAGAUCCAGUCACUCCUAAGUCAGUGACUCCAGACCCACCUCGUACUGAAAGGCAUCCUGAUUUUGGCCCACGACAAGAGUCUCCUACUACAGAUGCAUUUGAUCAGGUACAAUUCUCUAUCUGACUAGUAGUGUGAAAUCAGCUGCUUUCUUUCAUGACUUAAUUCAUAUUGAACAAUCUAGAAUUUUUGGCUACAUUUCAUAAUGGCAACAAUUUAAAUUAAUAAAAAAUGAAAAAUAGAAGCUAUUGAAAGUAUCUUCUCUUUACAUUUAUACACGUCCUCUGUUGGAAGGAAAUCCUGACAGUUGUUUUUUUUCCUGGCUUCUUCUCCUCCUUAUACUUUUCCUCAUAAUGGAAGCAAUCUGAGAUAAGGCAUGUGGAAGAGGUUCAACCUUUAUGUGAAAACCCCGGUUCUAAUGAUAAAAUCGAAGCAGAAAAUCAUGCUAAUAUGAUGGUUGGUAAUAAUGAUAAUGGAAGUCAAGCAGGAGACGACCGCAAAUGGUGGGACAGUGAAUCGCAGAAUGGCUUAUCGCAGAAUAUC